RNAcentral lists this ribosomal RNA (427 nucleotides) under uncultured prokaryote. RNAcentral's name for it is "bacterial SSU rRNA". It matches the Rfam family "Bacterial small subunit ribosomal RNA", at positions 355 to 774 of the family's 1533-position model. The record is from RNAcentral.
UGGGGAAUUUUGCGCAAUGGGCGAAAGCCUGACGCAGCAACGCCGCGUGGGUGAUGAAGGUCUUCGGAUCGUAAAACCCUGUCGUCAGGGACGAAGGUUGUAUGUCUAAUAGAUGUGCAACUUGACGGUACCUGGAGAGGAAGCCCCGGCUAACUCUGUGCCAGCAGCCGCGGUAAUACAGAGGGGGCAAGCGUUAUUCGGAAUUAUUGGGCGUAAAGGGCGCGUAGGCGGUGGUUUAAGUGAGAUGUGUAAUCCCCGAGCUUAACUUGGGAACUGCAUCUCAGACUGGAUCGCUAGAGGGCGGGAGAGGGUGGUGGAAUUCCACGUGUAGCGGUGAAAUGCGUAGAGAUGUGGAGGAACACCAGUGGCGAAGGCGGCCACCUGGACAGUAACUGACGCUGAGGCGCGAAAGUGUGGGGAGCAAACA